UACAGAGGAGCCAAGCGUUGUCCGGAUUGACUGGGCGUAAAGCGCACGCAGGCGGGGGUGCGCGUGGGGUGUGAAAUCUGGCCGCUUAACGGCCAGGCGCCAUCCCAUACGGCACGCCUGGAGCCUUGCAGAGGUCGGUGGAAUUGCCGGUGUAGUGGUGAAAUGCGUAGAUAUCGGGAGGAACACCAGUGGCGAAGGCGACUUCCUGGCCUGUUCUUGACGCUGAGGCGCGAAAGCUAGGGUAGCAAACGGG
This 253-nucleotide ribosomal RNA is filed under the name uncultured bacterium. RNAcentral's name for it is "partial 16S ribosomal RNA". It matches the Rfam family "Bacterial small subunit ribosomal RNA", at positions 524 to 776 of the family's 1533-position model. The record is from RNAcentral.